This 253-nucleotide ribosomal RNA is filed under the name uncultured bacterium. RNAcentral's name for it is "partial 16S ribosomal RNA". It matches the Rfam family "Bacterial small subunit ribosomal RNA", at positions 524 to 776 of the family's 1533-position model. The record is from RNAcentral.
UACGUAGGGGGCAAGCGUUGUCCGGAUUUAUUGGGCGUAAAGAGCGUGUAGGCGGCCAGACAGGUCCGUUGUGAAAACUCGAGGCUCAACCUCGAGACGUCGAUGGAAACCGUCUGGCUAGAGUCCGGAAGAGGAGAGUGGAAUUCCUGGUGUAGCGGUGAAAUGCGCAGAUAUCAGGAAGAACACCUAUGGCGAAGGCAGCUCUCUGGGACGGUACUGACGCUGAGACGCGAAAGCGUGGGGAGCAAACAGG